AACGAACGCUGGCGGCAGGCCUAACACAUGCAAGUCGAACGCACCGCAAGGUGAGUGGCGCACGGGUGAGUAACACGUGGGAAUGUACCCUUUGGUUCGGAAUAACGUUUGGAAACGAACGCUAAUACCGGAUGAGCCCUGCGGGGGAAAGAUUUAUCGCCAAAGGAGCAGCCCGCGUCUGAUUAGCUAGGUGGUGGGGUAAAGGCCUACCAAGGCGACGAUCAGUAGCUGGUCUGAGAGGAUGAUCAGCCACACUGGGACUGAGACACGGCCCAGACUCCUACGGGAGGCAGCAGUGGGGGAAUAUUGGACAAUGGGCGCAAGCCUGAUCCAGCCAUGCCGCGUGAGUGAUGAAGGCCUCGGGUUGUAAAGCUCUUUCGCACGCGACGAUGAUGACGGUAGCGUGAGAAGAAGCCCCGGCUAACUUCGUGCCAGCAGCCGCGGUAAU
RNAcentral lists this ribosomal RNA (448 nucleotides) under uncultured bacterium. RNAcentral's name for it is "bacterial SSU rRNA". It matches the Rfam family "Bacterial small subunit ribosomal RNA", at positions 29 to 524 of the family's 1533-position model. The record is from RNAcentral.